CCACUUUCCCCUUCCACUCAUAGAUGGAGGUGACGCGGGGGACGAUGUUGACGCACGCUGCCAACUUCUGCUCCACCAUCGCCCUCGCCAUCCUCGCAGCCACGUCCUCAUUGGGACAGGUGACGAAUGCAGCGGAAACGCUCCCGGCUGCGUACGAAUCCCCCUCAGCCGCCACGGCCGCCAUCCGCCGGCACAGCGACCGCAGCAACGGCACCGCCGGCACCGCCAGCAGCGCCACCGCCAGCGCCGUUCCCGCCCGCACGGCCGCGCUCGUGCCUUUCCGCCGCCC
RNAcentral lists this long non-coding RNA (289 nucleotides) under Gallus gallus (chicken). The record is from RNAcentral. Lineage: Eukaryota; Metazoa; Chordata; Aves; Galliformes; Phasianidae.